CCAUCGGUUGCGGCAAGCGGGGAACUUGGGCGAGUCCAUUUCUACGGAAAAAAUAAUUACAUUCCUUUUUCGAAUAGUAACAAUUGCUUGACAUUUGUCAGUAAGAGGUCCAUUGGGCGAGUCGAUUGAAGUCGCGGGGCGCCGGCGUACGGCGUAUUCUAGUGAAGCAGAUCGACCGACCUCCACGAGCGAGCGAGCAACAGAAAGAAACCAGCCGGCAUUCAUUUCUCACGGUUCGCGAACGCUGCGGUUAUUGUCUCAUCUCUAUCGCGUUUAUUACUGGUAAGUGAUAUCUAUUUAAUAUAUAUUUCAUCGUUUAAUAUAAGUUCACGUCCAAAAUUGUGCUUUGCAAAAUUAUAGCAUAGAUAUAGCAUUAGCGUAACAUUUUCUUGCUAAAAUGUAAUAUAAUUUUGCAAAAUACAAUAGUUGACAACUGUAUCAGAACAUCUGUCAUCUGUCACUAUCGAACUUAGGAUUGCUACUGUGUUAAGUGUUUGCACAAUUCGCUAUCUGCAUCUGCAGUGUGUAACGUGCGUGGUUGUUUUUUUUGGAAUCCUGCCAAUACAACCUAUGGUGGAACUUUCGUUAUCAUUAUCUUUAGAAAACGAGUUAUCAUCUGUACUAACUGCAUUAAAUACUAGUAAGUAGUAUGUUAAAUGUGUUUGCGAUACUGUAUGAAGCGUCUGUCUGAUCGCUAAAUGUUCAAUGUGAGCGUUCCUUGAGAUCUCGUCGUUAUCAAGUGGCGCGCUAUCAGCGGCGGGGAUGCGCGGGGUGCGGGGGCCUCGCGCAGGCUCCCUGCAGCGGAAUACCAUAUAUGGCCACGAAAACUCAUGUAUUGUGCCGUACUGUGCGAUUGGUGGAGAAGUCGGCGCAGCGGGGUAGGGGCGCCCCGAUAACCAGCCUCAUUUAUAUACUCUGCCUGCCGCGCUCGCCGACAUUCCACGAAGUGAGCUCGAGCAGUGGUGUUGUGCAGCAUUACCGAGGCUGUGCAAUAGCGAGUUAAUUUAUUUAUUUAAUAGGACUAUUUAAAUUAAAAGUAAGUUGAUACAGAUGUGGUACUCCAUUUUUUGUGAUGUUUAGUGAUUUUGUGGCGUGAGGAAAUAGUGCAACCUUGUUAGUGUGUGCGGGUCAGUGACACGUCGUUAGGGUUGGGCCGCGUGAUGCCGCACCGGCCGGGAGUCUGGGAUAGCCGGUUGCGGUAGGGCGUGGUCGCCCUCUAUCUCUUACUGGCACUUACCAUAGUUUAACCUUUCGUGUGAUUGACCCACGCUCGUAAUAAUUACCGUCGUAUGCACGGCCGAAAUGAAAUGGCGCGAGGAAGCGGCGAGCGUUCCUUUGUAUGUGUGUGUAAGCAUUUUAAAUUUCGCGCCAUAACAUAGACCGGUGAUACAGGAUGUUUAUUUUUGAUUGUUGAAAAAUCUUUAAUGCUGGAUUAGAAAUAAAAAACGUGUACAAAAU
Long non-coding RNA from Trichoplusia ni (cabbage looper), 1458 nucleotides. RefSeq lists it as uncharacterized. The transcript has 2 exons. Lineage: Eukaryota; Metazoa; Arthropoda; Insecta; Lepidoptera; Noctuidae. The record is from RefSeq and is a predicted model, not a curated record.